GACGAACGCUGGCGGCGUGCCUAAUACAUGCAAGUAGAACGCUGAAGCGAGGAGCUUACUCUUCUUGGAUGAGUUGCGAACGGGUGAGUAACGCGUAGGUAACCUGCCUUGUAGCGGGGGAUAACUAUUGGAAACGAUAGCUAAUACCGCAUAACAAUGGAUGACACAUGUCAUUUAUUUGAAAGGGGCAAUUGCUCCACUACAAGAUGGACCUGCGUUGCAUUAGCUAGUAGGUGAGGUAAUGGCUCACCUAGGCGACGAUACAUAGCCGACCUGAGAGGGUGAUCGGCCACACUGGGACUGAGACACGGCCCAGACUCCUACGGGAGGCAGCAGUAGGGAAUCUUCGGCAAUGGGGGCAACCCUGACCGAGCAACGCCGCGUGAGUGAAGAAGGUUUUCGGAUCGUAAAGCUCUGUUGUAAGUCAAGAACGGGUGUGAGAGUGGAAAGUUCACACUGUGACGGUAGCUUACCAGAAAGGGACGGCUAACUACGUG
Molecule: ribosomal RNA, 497 nt
Filed under: uncultured bacterium
Lineage: Bacteria
Description: partial 16S ribosomal RNA
Rfam family: Bacterial small subunit ribosomal RNA
Source: RNAcentral